AGGUAGGAUUGAGAGGGAAGAUGGGAGCAGUAAUAAAAGUGAAAAUGAAAACUAAAAACUGAAAUCUAUUUGAAAUUGUUUGCACUCAACACUUUUGUUACUCCUCCCUCCCAUCUCCGCCUGCCAC
RNAcentral lists this microRNA precursor (127 nucleotides) under Prunus dulcis (almond). RNAcentral's name for it is "sRNA ncRNA". The record is from RNAcentral. Lineage: Eukaryota; Viridiplantae; Streptophyta; Magnoliopsida; Rosales; Rosaceae.